RNAcentral lists this ribosomal RNA (774 nucleotides) under Pectenia plumbea. RNAcentral's name for it is "SSU rRNA". It matches the Rfam family "Bacterial small subunit ribosomal RNA", at positions 329 to 1208 of the family's 1533-position model. The record is from RNAcentral. Lineage: Eukaryota; Fungi; Ascomycota; Lecanoromycetes; Peltigerales; Pannariaceae.
GGCUGAACAGCAACUGGGAGGAAUGAGUGGCAAUAGCUAAUUGUAUUUAAAAAUAUUUUUUACGAUUUCGAUUUUGUCGAAUAAAAUUCUAGAUAGAUUUAUGAUAAUGACAUUAUCUAUCUACCUGUCUUGACUAAAUUACGUGCCAGCUGUCGCGGUAAUACGUAGAAGACUAGUGUUAUUCAUCUUCAAUAGGUUUAAAGUGUACCCAGACGGUUAAUAUAGCCCAUAAAGGGUACUAUAUUUAGCUAGAGUUUAUAUGUAUUGGUGCAAGAAGGUACUGUUGAGUGUAGAGAUGAAAUUCUGUCAUACCAGAUGAGUGGCACGGGUUUAGGCGAAAGCAUCACCUUAUGUAAUAACUGACGUUGGCGGACGAAGGCUUGACAAACAAAAAGGAUUAGGUACCCAAGUAGUUCCUGCAGAUAAUGAUGAAUGUCAUAGGUUAAAUAUUUAUUAUUUGGUCUAUAAAUGAAAGUGUAAGCAUUCCACCUCAAGAGUAAUUUGGCAACAUUGGAAUUGAAAUCAUUAGACCGUUUCUGAAACCAGUAGUGAAGUAUGUUGUUUAAUUUGAUAAUCCGCAAAAAACCUCACCACAAUUUGAAUAUAAAUAGUAAUUUAUACAAGCGUUGCACGGCUGUCUUUAGUUAAUAUCGUGAGAUUUUGGUUAGUUCCAUAAAAUUAACGUAAACCCUUACUUUAUUUUUAAAUAAAGUUGUUCACCGCUAGAUUGGAUAUGAUAACAGGGACUAUGACAAGUCAUCAUGCCCUAAUAUU